RNAcentral lists this transfer RNA (74 nucleotides) under Bacteroidales bacterium. RNAcentral describes it as "tRNA-Arg". It matches the Rfam family "tRNA". From Rfam's summary of the family: Transfer RNA (tRNA) molecules are approximately 80 nucleotides in length. Their secondary structure includes four short double-helical elements and three loops (D, anti-codon, and T loops). The record is from RNAcentral. Lineage: Bacteria; Pseudomonadati; Bacteroidota; Bacteroidia; Bacteroidales. RNAcentral also lists the same sequence under 1 other name.
GGUCCCGUAGCUUAACUGAAUAGAGCAUCUGACUACGGAUCAGAAGGUUGUGGGUUUGAAUCCCGCCGGGAUCA